AAAAUAUCAAUUUUUUUUAACAGAGCAGGAUAUCAAUUAACUUUAUCACAUCUAGGGUUCUGACUUUGCUCCCCAAAAUCUCUAGAAGCUCUGUUCCACCAUCACUAAUCGAAUCAUCCUCCACUCCACCAUCAGUCCAUCACUAAUCCAAUCAUCCUCCGAUCCAAAACCCUAAUCGCUCCAAAACCCUAACUGCUCCCAAAAGUGGCGACCGUUGGACUUCAGCAAUGAGCUAAUGAUUUCUUAGGGUGCGGUUUGUUGUGAAUUAUGACCAACAUCUUGCUAUUCUUAAUCGAAGGUGACUUAUGACAGUUUUGAUCCCCUUAACCCAGUUUCACUUUAGCUACAUAUUUCAAGUUACCUGGUACAGCUCCUUUCUCAACUGUAGGCCUGUAGCCACGAGCGGGGGGCAAUAAUAGAGGAAAAGUGUACUCUUUUGGCAAUGCUAAUGACCCUUGUGUCCAUAGCAGAGAGAAGACCCUGAGAUUGAAAGGUUGAACUUAGUUAUAAGGAGCUCAUUAAGGAAGAGGAUGAA
This is a long non-coding RNA of Helianthus annuus (common sunflower), 535 nucleotides long. RefSeq lists it as uncharacterized. The transcript is spliced from 3 exons. The record is from RefSeq and is a predicted model, not a curated record. NCBI's taxonomy places the organism in Eukaryota, Viridiplantae, Streptophyta, Magnoliopsida, Asterales, Asteraceae.